AUUGAACGCUGGCGGCAGGCCUAACACAUGCAAGUCGAGCGGAUGAAGGGAGCUUUCUCCUGGAUUCAGCGGCGGACGGGGGAGUAAUGCCUAGGAAUCUGCCUGGUUGUGGGGGAUAACGUCCGGAAACGGGCGCUAAUACCGCAUACGUCCUGAGGGAGAAAGAUGGGGAUCUUCGGACCUCACGCUAUCAGAUGAGCCUAUGUCGGAUUAGAUAGUUGGUGGGGUAAGGGCCUACCAAGGCGACGAUCCGUAACUGGUCUGAGAGGAUGAUCAGUCACACUGGAACUGAGACACGGUCCAUACUCCUACGGGAGGCAGCAGUGGGGAAUAGUGGACAGUGGGCGGAAGCCUGAUCCAGCCAUGCCGCGUGUGUGAAGAAGGUCUUCGGAUUGUAAAGCACGUUAAGUUGGGAGAAAGGGCAGUAAGUUAAUACCUUGCUGGUUUGACGUUACCAACAGAAGAAGCACCGGCUAACUUCGUG
Molecule: ribosomal RNA, 484 nt
Filed under: uncultured bacterium
Lineage: Bacteria
Description: partial 16S ribosomal RNA
Rfam family: Bacterial small subunit ribosomal RNA
Source: RNAcentral